GUGGAAAUAAUGUAAGUCACCAGGGAAUCAGAACGAAUAAGAGAAAGGGAAAAAACCGUGGCAAACUGUUUUCAUAAAUUCAAUUAGCCAUACUUUUGGCACGGAUUUAAUUUGUUCCAACCCCCUCACGCGGAUUACAUGUACCAGGUUGAGUGCGUCGCGGUAGCCUUUUUUUCGCUCUUUCAAAUUUUUUCAUCCACAUAUAGGGGCCUGUAGAAAGAAAAAAACUGUCCAACGUUUUUAUAUACUUUCGGUUUGAAAGUUCGUCCUGUUCGAAUCGCGCGGUGAGCUUUACAUUUUUUUGUUUCUAAUUCUAUUGCUUUCGUGUCCGAAUUGAAGAAGGCAUCGAAUUCAAGAAUUCCCUAUCCACCGUACUGAAAAAAGGAGUAAAAAGGAAAAAGAAAGAUUUUUAUAUCCACGCACACGACGCCGUACGAAAAUUCGCCCGGUUUCGCAUUGUUUGCGAAAACAAUAGGCGAGAAGUGUCGAAUCCUAGAGAACAAUCAUUACAGAGGAAUUACGGGCAAGGGGGUCGGUGCGGGACCGGAUGGUUUCCAUGACAACCGUACGAGAGACACGCGAACCUCUCAUGCGCGUUACGUUAUAAGAGGGAUUCGGCGAGCGUGUUCGCGAUUCGCGAAAAUGGGGGUGGCAGAAGGGGGCGAAUGGUUCGCGGUUUCGGUCGGGGGUGUAUUCGGUGAUGGUGCGAGGCGAAUGGACCACGAGGAGCGGAGCGACCGUAUACAAUUCGACAAAAUUGAAUUCUGUCCACCCCACAAAAUGAAAUAAAUUUAUCAUUUUCAAAA
Molecule: long non-coding RNA, 806 nt
Organism: Athalia rosae (coleseed sawfly)
Lineage: Eukaryota; Metazoa; Arthropoda; Insecta; Hymenoptera; Athaliidae
Exons: 2
Source: RefSeq, a predicted model, not a curated record